UACAGAGGGUGCGAGCGUUGUCCGGAAUCACUGGGCGUAAAGGGCGCGUAGGCGGUCUGGUAAGCGUGUGGUGAAAGCUCGGGGCUCAACCCCGAGUCGGCCGUGCGAACUGCGAGACUGGAGCAGAUCAGAGGCAGGCGGAAUUCCGGGUGUAGCGGUGGAAUGCGUAGAGAUCCGGAAGAACACCGGUGGCGAAGGCGGCCUGCUGGGAUCUUGCUGACGCUGAGGCGCGACAGCGUGGGGAGCAAACAGG
Molecule: ribosomal RNA, 253 nt
Filed under: uncultured bacterium
Lineage: Bacteria
Also listed under: 1 other name
Description: partial 16S ribosomal RNA
Rfam family: Bacterial small subunit ribosomal RNA
Source: RNAcentral